GUACCGGAACUACAUGGAAUAGUGUGUGUGUCACCUGGCGACUCAUGUAGUCACACUCACACGCGGAUGUGGGCCACGCGGCCGGCAGCCCAUCAAGGCAUCAGCUAUCAAUCCAGUAUUCCAGAUUUCCAGCGCUGCUUCCUUUUCUCCGCCGUGCUCUCCCCAGUCCCCUCCGCCUCCGGUCACCAUUAACCUAGCCGCAACUCUCCUCGGUGCGGCGGUGCCCGCCUGCCCGGAGCUCGGACACCGGAGCGACCUCAAGUGUUCCACAGGCGUCACGGGACACGACGCUCACCGCUCGCUAUCGCUGGCGGACUACGGACGGCUGGAGCUGGAUUGCUGACUGCUGUGGAGAAUUCGGACUUUGAAGCCUCAAGUCUGAACCAUAUGUGAAGUCUGAACUGUAUUUUUCUCGUGGAUUUGUGAUGCAAUGCAAUGGCACUUGGCGGCUGUCACUGGCAGGCAGCAGCAGCACCGCAGCAGGCUUAAUGCCUUACAGCCUUGCACUUUUGUAUCUUUUGUCGUCGUCGAGUACUCAGUACAUUAGUGUAGUAGUAGGUAGUACCUGUCGGCUGUAUUGGUUCUUGAAUUCUCGCUCCUCUGCAUAAGCAUGUUUGGAGCAAAGAUGAGGGCAGAGUUAGCAAAUAUGCUUGUUAUGUAUGAAGUAGCAUAAAUCAGGCUAUAGACACUAGAGAAGAGGCUGGUAUUUUAUUUUAUUUCCUUAUAUCUUGUAUAUCAAAUUCCUAUUCUUUUGUGUUUGUAAAUCAACGAUCAAUGGACAUUUCCAUGAACAUGUAUUAAAUUGAGUUGUAUAUUGGUUUUUUGGCGAUUAA
Zea mays is the source of this 833-nucleotide long non-coding RNA. RefSeq lists it as uncharacterized. The record is from RefSeq and is a predicted model, not a curated record. The transcript has 3 exons. Lineage: Eukaryota; Viridiplantae; Streptophyta; Magnoliopsida; Poales; Poaceae.